AUGUUCAGGUGCUCAGAUUCACCUUUAGAGGAGAGGAGAGGAGAGCAGAGCAGAGCAGAGCAGAGGAGAGGAGAGCAGAGCAGAGCAGAGCAGAGCAGAGGAGAGCAGAGGAGAGCAGAGCAGAGGAGAGCAGAGGAGAGCAGAGCAGAGCAGAGCAGAGGAGAGCAGAGGAGAGCAGAGGAGAGCAGAGCAGAAGAGAGGAGAGCAGAGGAGAGCAGAGGAGAGGAGAGGAGAGCAGAGGAGAGCAGAGGAGAGCAGAGCAGAGGAGAGGAGAGCAGAGGAGAGCAGAGGAGAGGAGAGGAGAGCAGAAGAGAGCAGAGGAGAGCAGAGCAGAGGAGAGCAGAGCAGAGGAGAGCAGAGCAGAGCAGAAGAGAGCAGAGGAGAGCAGAGCAGAGGAGAGCAGAGGAGAGCAGAGCAGAGCAGAGCAGAGGAGAGCAGAGCAGAGCAGAGCAGAGGAGAGCAGAGGAGAGCAGAGCAGAGCAGAGGAGAGCAGAGCAGAGGAGAGCAGAGGAGAGCAGAGGAGAGGAGAGCAGAGGAAAGGAGAGGAGAGCACAGGAGAGGAGAGGAGAGCACAGGAGAGGAGAGGAGAGCACAGGAGAGGAGAGCACAGGAGAGGAGAGCACAGGAGAGGAGAACAGAGAAGAGCAGAGGAGAUGAGAGCACAGGAGAGGAGAGCAGAGGAGAGGAGAGGAGAGAAGUUUAAGGAACAAAAUUCAGAUACUCAGAUUCAAACCUUACAACCCCACUCUCAAGCCCCAGCACAAGAUGGCAGGUGGGUCAACCAUUCAUAGUAUAAGUUUUCAGCUGAACCUUUGCCCUGGGAUGUGUCCCCAUUGCUAUUCUAAUCACCCCUAUAAUGCUGAUGAGUAUGGGGAUGCUGUUUAUCUCUGAUCCCCCUUAUACCCUCAAUUAUGAGGAAAAGGUCCUUCAUGGAGCAUGACUUCUCAAUCCUAUUCAGGCAGUUGCCAAGGGAUAUAUAUGCACAGAUGCCUCAAAUGGUACCAUUACCUCCCAUUUCUCCUUCUCUUUCCUUUCUCAUUUUUGAAUAACUUUGUGUUUCAGCCCUUCCCUCUGUCACUUCCACAGGCUAGAUCUAACUCCCCAUUCUUUGCUUCUUUCAAUAGCUUGAUAAUUAUGAAGUCUGGUAGACAGGGCUCUAAGCUCCUUCCUCCUACUCCCUCAGCCCUACUUGGAUAGAUCAAUGAGGACAUUGCUUAAGGAAAAACUUGCUGAAAGUUAACUCUCUCUAAAAGUAUCAAUAGGAUGUCUUGGAAAGUUACUCGUAGGAAGUCUUAGAGCAAAAGUAAGAGGACCUAUUUGUUGGGGGUAUUUUAGAGAGAUCAUAGCUAUAGAACAACAGCAAGAGAACAGGUUGGAUCAUUUAGUCCAAUUGCCUCAUUUUACAGAUACGGAAAAUGAAGUCAACAGGGUUAGGUGACACUCAGGGUCUACAUAGCCAGUAAAUGUCUGAGACUGGAUUUGAACUCAGGUCUUCCUAAUUCUAGGCCCAGUGCUCUGUGCACUAUGGCAUCACCUAGCUGCCCCUUAUAAGUCAGACUGAACAACUUAAAAGCACUCCUGGUUAGAAGUUCCAUGAACUUAUAUGCAAUACUCCCAGAGAGAUCAAAACUGAAUGAUCAGACUCUGGAAACUCACUUGCAAAAUUACUUUGUGGAUAUUGACCAUAGCUCCUAGGAUUUAGGGUUUUAAAGUACCAUAGAGCUAGUGUAGUUUAACUUCCUCAUUUUACAGAUGAGGAAACCAAACCCCAAAGCCCAGACUACACAGCUAAUAAAUAGUAAUGCUAGGAUUCUAUGCUUCA
Monodelphis domestica (gray short-tailed opossum) is the source of this 1822-nucleotide long non-coding RNA. The record is from Ensembl. Lineage: Eukaryota; Metazoa; Chordata; Mammalia; Didelphimorphia; Didelphidae.